Molecule: ribosomal RNA, 254 nt
Filed under: uncultured bacterium
Lineage: Bacteria
Description: partial 16S ribosomal RNA
Rfam family: Bacterial small subunit ribosomal RNA
Source: RNAcentral
UACGUAGGGUGCAAGCGUUUAAUCGGAAUUACUGGGCGUAAAGCGUGCGCAGGCGGUUAUAUAAGACAGUUGUGAAAUCCCCGGGCUCAACCUGGGAACUGCAUCUGUGACUGUAUAGCUAGAGUACGGUAGAGGGGGAUGGAAUUCCGCGUGUAGCAGUGAAAUGCGUAGAUAUGCGGAGGAACACCGAUGGCGAAGGCAAUCCCCUGGACCUGUACUGACGCUCAUGCACGAAAGCGUGGGGAGCAAACAGG